Molecule: long non-coding RNA, 1197 nt
Organism: Perca flavescens (yellow perch)
Lineage: Eukaryota; Metazoa; Chordata; Actinopteri; Perciformes; Percidae
Exons: 4
Source: RefSeq, a predicted model, not a curated record
CCGCCACACACACCUGCUCCACAUGCCCUCAUCAGCUCCUCAGCGUACCUGUCUGUCAGUUGUUUGCUGCAAUCUUAGCUGUUCCUGCUACUUUUGAUGAUGACUCCUUACUUUUGCCACUUUGGACUGCCCGCCUGUUGCCAAAACUCUGUUUUCAGCACACAGCUCGUGAGCUCGGUCCAGUCCGCAUGCAACCCGCAACUCCAGCCUGUGGAGAACCGGGAGAAGAGCCACGACUCAGCUCUACCGGGCCGGUGGCAGGUGCAUUUCCUUUGGCCGGGCAUGCAGUCGCAGGGCUGCUCCAGCUGGAUGUUUUUGACCAGGUGCCGCCCAAACGUUGUCCCGCCGGUCUUCUGAAUGUGGAGGAACACCAUCACGUCAUCUCCUCGGAUGUUGAAGUCGACGUGCCUGUCCAGGUCCCGCUCCGUGAAGUUAAAUUUGGAUGUGAUUUUGGAGGGGAUCCACCAGCAGGCCCACAGACCUGCAGUGCAGCGACGGCACCACGCCAACCUGUGCCCGGCUCCCACCACAGCUCCAUCCAAAACGUUUAAUCAAAAGAGACAUUCUCUCCACUUGGUCCCGCAAGGAAAUAGAAACUGUUGAGCUGUUGGCCCAUGCUGUGCACCCUGGCAGCUCGACAAAGAAUAACCCAGAAUGGUCUACUCUCCGCUUCAGCGCCAGGGCAUUGGAGAGGAGGCCAGUGAUACAAUCUGCAUUUUCCAACAGGUGCCACUUCCAAGAAAACUGUUCCAGCGAAGUGUCUUGGCAGUGAUGAAGCAUAAAAGAGCUGAGGCCUACAGGAACGAGUCCACGUAUCGUCGACAAAUGGAAAAACGAGUCUGUGGGAAGUUCUCCGGAUCUAUUGCUAGGACGUCUUGUGAUGAAUAGCUAACCUUGUUUCCCAAAACUCUGCUCCAGUGCAGCGGCUUCAUCACUAUGCAGCUCUAUCUUCAUACAUCUAACUCCCUUCCUGAUUUAUUGGAGGCUAUGGCAGAGACGCUAGACCUCGCAUCAAACGCUAUGGCAUUUUGUGCACAAGUACAAAUGCUUACAUAGACUGUGUGAAGACAGAUACAUUUGUAAGAUGGAUGAAUGGUGCACAUUUGAAUUGCAAAACAUUCAGACACUCAUUACAUGGAUUUGUUGGAAAAUGCAGUGUCUCUGUAAAGAAAAAUCUCUGCAUCUAGUGCCAACAUA